Molecule: long non-coding RNA, 667 nt
Organism: Heterocephalus glaber (naked mole-rat)
Lineage: Eukaryota; Metazoa; Chordata; Mammalia; Rodentia; Bathyergidae
Source: Ensembl
CAGAAAGAGAGAGAGAGAGAGAGAGAGAGAGAGAGAGAGAGAGAGAGAGAGAGAGAGAGAGACCCCAAAUAAAAGAUCCAAUCGAACAUGGGCAACCAAAAUGAAUAGACAUUCCCAGAAGUACAGAUGGCCGAUAAAUACAUGAAAACUGCUCAUCAUCGCUGGUUAUGAGAGAAAUACAAACUAAAACCACACUGACAUUCCAUCUUACUCGAGAAACAAUGGGCAUCGUCAAGAAAUCAAAUGUAACAAGUGCUGGAGAGGCUUCGGGAAAAAGGGACCCUUCUACACUGCCGACGUUUCCAAUGGCCGUUACUUGGCAGGAAAGCCUUUCCAAGAAUGCUACGGAGACCAAGAAUCAUAAAGGCAAGGUGCCAGGGUCCUUCAACAGCAAGAGGGCUGUCAUCCUCUGGAAAAGCUGAAAGUCAGGCACGCCAAGAGAGUGUGAUGUCUUGCAUUGGGAGAAGAAUGGCUCUGGGUCGCCCCAGGUGGAGCAGGUGUGAGGCCCCAAGCAAUCCCGGCAGGCCAGCCAGCCCCAGCCAGGAACCUUGACCUGCACCUAGGACACACGCCACUGCAGACAGACAGACUCUACGUGUGUGGCCACAGGGACACAACAUGCACCCUGAUCAAUUGCUCAUAAAUAAUGUUAUUGCUCAUAAUAAUC